RNAcentral lists this ribosomal RNA (1283 nucleotides) under Triticum aestivum (bread wheat). RNAcentral describes it as "partial small subunit ribosomal RNA". Lineage: Eukaryota; Viridiplantae; Streptophyta; Magnoliopsida; Poales; Poaceae. The record is from RNAcentral.
CCAACCCACCGAUCCGCGCACCGCCAAAGCCCGACCGAGCCAGCCCUCCCCCUCCGGCGCCGACCCACCGCCGCUCACCAUGGAGCCCGCGGCGAUGGACCGCAUCGCCGCCCGGCUCUCCGCCGUCGACGGCCUCUACUUCCCCACGGCCUUCCUCCGCACCUCGCCGCCGCCGGAGACGCGCAAGUCCGCCCUCCUCGACCUCCUCUCCCGCGACGCGCCGCUCUUCCUCGAGCGGUACGGCGCCGCGCUGCGCCCGGACGAGCUGGCCCCCUUCGACGCCCUCCGGGAUGACUACGAGGUGGGCUGGCACCUCCGCCGCCUCCGCGCCGCGGCCGCCGGGGAGGCCCCGGCCCCCGCGCGCGUGCGCAACCGGCGCCGCGCCUACCUCCACCGCCUGGUGAGCCAGGGGGACUACUUCUCCGAGGAGGCGAUGCGGGAGCGGGAGCCGUACCUGCACCACGAGUACCUCGGCAGGUUCCAGGACCCCUUCGGGCGGGCCAUGGUGCGGCCCGGGGAGAAGUUCUCCGAGACGCUGAUGCGGCGGGCCGAGGAGGCCGUCAUCGUGGAGAAGAUCCGCGGGGAGCAGAUCAGGAGGGGUGUUGACCCCAGCGAGUGGGUCGGCGGCCCCGUUGAGCGGCCGAUGAUGGGGCAGGAGGAAGAGGAGGAGGAAGAGGAAGAAGAGGAGGAGGAGGAAGAAGAGGAAGAAGAGAACAUCGGCAUGGAGGAGAACACCGAGAAUCUUAGCUCGACUGAGACUGCAGGCCCCCCUGCAGGGACUUUCAAGCCGAUAUUGUCCCCCGAGGAGAUGGAGGAUCAGCUGGAGCAGUUCACCUCGGUGAUGCAGGAGAAGUUCCUGUCAGGCCAAGACUCGGAGCACAUGGACUACCUCCAGAUCGACAACGACGAGAUGCUGGACGACCACUGGUCCAGGGAGGCCAACUACGACGCGGAGGACAAGUACUUCAACGAAGAUUAGGACGGUCCACAAUGUAGUCGGCUGCUAUUUAAGUUGCAUACUCGGUCAGUGGCGUACGUCGGGCAUGUUCAGACCCUGUAGUGUUGUUUGUUAGCAGCAUGUAAAUAUAUGAUGCAACCGUGUAUGUGUUGGACACAGGCACACAGUUUACACAUCCCCAUGAGUUGUGAUGAGCUCUAUCCAAGUGGAGUUUGAUACUUCUCGGUCUCGCUUUCACUCUUGGUGCUGUUAGUUUCUCCUUGUCAAAAUGUAGGUCAAGUGGCAUGGCAUGUGACCUUUUUCUUUUUCCUUAUUUAUUCUUCAG